This 497-nucleotide ribosomal RNA is filed under the name uncultured bacterium. Its description in RNAcentral is "partial 16S ribosomal RNA". It matches the Rfam family "Bacterial small subunit ribosomal RNA", at positions 28 to 507 of the family's 1533-position model. The record is from RNAcentral.
GACGAACGCUGGCGGCGUGCCUAAUACAUGCAAGUUGAGCGAUGAAGAUUGGUGCUUGCACCAAUUUGAAGAGCAGCGAACGGGUGAGUAACGCGUGGGGAAACUGCCUUUGAGCGGGGGACAACAUUUGGAAACGAAUGCUAAUACCGCAUAACAACUUUAAACAUAAGUUUUAAGUUUGAAAGAUGCAAUUGCAUCACUCAAAGAUGAUCCCGCGUUGUAUUAGCUAGUUGGUGAGGUAAAGGCUCACCAAGGCGAUGAUACAUAGCCGACCUGAGAGGGUGAUCUACCACAUUGGGACUGAAACACGGCCCGAAAUCCUACGGGAGGCAGCAGUAGGGAACCUUCGGCAAUGGACGAAAGUCUGACCGAGCAACGCCGCGUGAGUGAAUAAGGUUUUCGGAUCGUAAAACUCUGUUGGGAGAGAAGAACGUUGGUGAGAGUGGAAAGCUCAUCAAGUGACGGUAACUACCCAGAAAGGGACGGCUAACUACGUG